CCUAUCUCUACCUCCUCGUGGUGUCAGCCGGAAUGUGCAGUAUCAGUACUGCAUAUACCAACAGAGAGGGUCAGUGACGCUAGUGGUUACCUAACGUCGCUGAGGGUGUUUGAAUGUUCCCCAGCCUGUGUCCGUGCCCGUUGACCGUAUCGAUCUAUCGCUAUAUUGAGUCUUGCAUCUUGUCGACACAAAUUGCAUGAAUCAAAUGGCUUCUAUGACAUUCAUUAACCAAAUCAAGUAUCCCAAGCUAACUAAAAGGAAUCUAAGUUUAACCUUCAGCUAACCAAGUUCGAGCAGGGUUCGAUGUGUACUGGAGCUCGAGGCACACCUAUCAGGCUUGAAGACUCGCCCUUGAUGUACGAUGGCCCCCAUAGUACGCAGGACUGACUAUCCUGCUAUGGAUUAUGUAAAAUUAAUUAUGUUUGGGGGGAAUCGUUACAAUAAACUAUUUUAGAAGCUAAUAAGAAGUCUUUAUAAAAAUGAUAAAAAAAUAGAAAAACGCAUAAAAUCCAUUGAAAAAAAAACACACACAACACAACUUAGUAUAACACCGAUGGAUCGGAAGGAUGUCCACCGCAGCAGUUUGCUCGAAAUUGUAAAAUAACAGUGCUUACAAAUUCGAGGCCGCUGGUGGAAAACCUCAUCAACUAACAUCGAUCGAUCCAAUAUUUCGUUCUGCAUACAAAAUGGCUACACAGUUUUCUGCCCCUCUUGAGUAUGCGUCUCAAGCCGUGGUUUGAAAGCUAGCAACUGCCAAGAACGUAUAUUUACAUUUUUGUUUGCAGCGUUUGCGCAUAUUGCUUUGCAUGCAAGCAUUUUUGCAUACUAUAGAGUGUUUUAACAUUUUAUCGUUUAUUUCUUUACUUCAAUUAUUUUAAUUACCGAUCUUAUUUAAGCACAAGACAACUAGUAAUAAGAUUUCUGUAUUAGUGUCCGAAGGCGUACCAUUUCUGAUUCUUCAUGCUAUUCUCAUUUUGUAGCAUUAUUUUCUUAUCAAGUGUGUUUCUAGUUUUAAAAAGCUGUUAUAUGUAAGGUAUGUGCAACUGCAUGUUAUCGACAAUAACACCAGUCCUCCAUGCACAUGGCAAUACCACCCAGCCAUUAGAUGCAUCAAAACAAUAAAAUCUCGAAGUGCCUGUUCACAUGUAUACAAAAGGGCUUUUUUCCUUUGAAUCACAAAGAGCGAUGUUUGCACAUCAAUGGUAGUGCCGGUGUGUUGCAGCACCUGCUGCGAGUACUAACAGAGACCGAGUACCUCUGCUGUCUGAGCACCGGCCGGUAGCACACUAGCAGCUUGCCAGUCUUCCCCUACUCCACUCUAGGUGCCUCCAGUGAAUAUUCUUAUGUAUUACUACGACAAUUGAUAUGGCUACAAGCAGGCGUGCCAAGUGGGAAGAACCAUCGUUUGAACCAAGAUGAAUCAUUCGAGUCUCUUUCCGUAGUGCCAUCCAGAGCUAUAAGUAAUCAUUUGACGUCUAAUUGAAAUACUCAUGCCUUUCUGAACAUUGUAACAUAACAAGAACAUAACUACACAUUUGCUUUCCCCAAAAUUAACGUACGUUUAUAUUACCCGGGUUCUUCUCCUCGAUGAACAUUUUGUUGAGAUUCAAUUGUUUGGAGUCUAAUAUAAAUUGAUGUUGUAGUAAUAGUCAAUUAUUAAUUUUGGAAGGAUUGGGAUAAAUUAUUAGAAAAUUCAUUCAAACUAUAUUUGUAAAUGAAGGCACAAACAAAACUCUUAACUCCAAACACAAAACGAAUAAAGUUAAGGGUAUCACUUGUUUGGUUUCGAUUAAUCGAAUUUCGAGUUAAUCGAGUAUUUGAGUUAGACGUCAAAUGUUUACUUAUAGUUGAACAAUGUUCAAAACUAGCUUAAGAUUUUUUAUUUGAACUCGACAACAAUGCAUCACUGGCAGCGUGUUCUGUCGAAAAUUUCGCUAGUCAAUUGUUUCGUUUCUUGAAACAAUGAAAUACUGUAGAACGAAUUCUGGAACGACAGUUAAGGUACAACAUUAAGGUUUGGACAACAGAACGGCAGCAUAACAGAUGACUUGGUUAAACGAAUAUAGGUAUGUAAAGUCAUGUAAUGAUUUUCAUUUUUACUUAGUUUUAGUAGACAUUUUUCAUGCGGGAUUAGGGGCGGAUUAAGCGCGAAGCAAACUAAGUGGCCGCGUUGGGCCCCGUGGUCUUGAGGGGCCCCAAAAAAUGGAACCCCCGCUCGCAAGUAAAAUUACUAGUCAUUCCUUCUCUGAAUGAGAACAUUUCCCAAGACCAGGCCUACACUUGUGUGACCGCUUAGAGCCUCCACUCGUCUUAAUCCGCCACUGUGUGUGAUAGAAAAUAUCGAUAAAAAUGCAUGAAUACUUAAUUUCCAGUAAAUGAGCUAGAGAGUUUUAACUGUUUGGGUAUUUUAUGUAUGACACAUCUUUCAAAGGUAAAUGUGUACAAGCAUACACACUCAGAUUUUGAACUAUGCACGAUACGAGCGAUUAAACUGAGAUUUGUAUUCCUAAUCAGUCGUAAACAAAGGCGUGUUGAUAAUUGAACAGAUCAGUAGCCGGAAGUAUUGGUCUAUAAGAAGUUCGACCUGAAUCACUUUUAAUGCAAUCUGCAAAAAAAAUUCUUGCAUCGAUCAACCUUAAUCUUAUUGUUUAUUUACGCAAUUUUUACUUUUAUUCUUGCAUCUAUCAACCUUAAUCUUAUAAUUUAUUAAACAUAUAUGUGUUAUGUGUAUGAUAUGGAUAUCAAUGAUAAAAUCAACAAUUGCUAUUCACUUAGAAAAAAGUCGUUGAAAACAAUGAUUAAAUCGGCAGCCUUUCUUAACCUUUUGACUAACAACUUAACCGUACAUGACGAAAAUCCCUUCCUUGGUGACGACGUUUAUUUAAAAUUCAUAUAAAGUGUUUCAACCCCGCCAAGAAUAAAUAAAAACAACAACAAUAUUUUUUUAUGAUCUCGACACCACCGACAAUGAAGCAACAAAUUAAAGAGUGGAACAUUGAGCUGUUUUGAAUCAUUAAUUUCAUUUUUUACGAUGUGAACAGUGAACACAAUCAUCGGUAACUAAAAUAUGGGAGCAGUCCCGUAAAGCAAUCGUCAACUCGUACAACUUGCAGGGUUUUGAAUCAUAUAAGGGAAUAGCUCCACCAGUUAGGAGAAUGUUGCAAAUCGGUAGGAUAAUGUUGCAAGCAUACUGUGGUGCUGUCAUCAGACUGUAGCGGACGCUUUGAACACCCCAAAACAUUGUUGUAAAUUUUACUUAUUUAUCAUGCUUAAUUAUAUCUCCGUGGUAGGAUUUAUUAAGUUUAUCAUGUUUGUUGGUCUUUUCAUAAUAAUACGCCCUAUCUGUUACAAGAUAUUAAGAUUGAAAGCCAAUUAUUCCUGGCUAUCAUAUAUGAUAGCCAUGACACUCAAAUUGUUAAAGAGCUAUAUACAUUUAUCAUUAUGAGUAAAGGGUAUUUGGUGCCAAGUUCCGUUGUCCUGAAUUCAGUGCUAAAUAGAGCUCGUGGCCUUAAACUACUAUAGCACAAUAUAAGAAUUUUAAGGUAUGUGGAUCACUAAAGCCUUUUUCAACACGUAAUCCUGACAUAAGAAAAACUUUUGAAAUACAUAACUCAUAGUGAUCUUGAAGAGUCAAUCUACUAUCUAGCUGUACACCUAAGUCACGAACUACAUAUGUGCGCGGACUUAUGUCGCAUUGAACAUCAAAUUCUUAUAUCCAAACUUAAAAUUAAAAUUAUUCUUAGUUCGCCAGGAUACUUAAGAUAACAUGAUUGCAAAUUUCCACAGUGUGCUUGCAACAUUCCCCUAACGUUGUGCAAAAUUUUCCCAACUGACUGAAAUAUUCCCUUGUGUGAUUCGAAACGCUGGAAUAACAAGUCCGUCAUGGGAUAAAGCCUAAUAUCCCCUCUCCACUGCCCCGAGCAUAUAAUUGACUUUUCCGGCGAGAUAUUGAAUAAUUUCGGGAGCUCCAAACUACCCCAGAAAGCAGACCAUACCUAGAGUGUUUUUAUUUUUCUUUUAUUCGCUUUGUUUUAUAUUGUCCUAAAUGCGUCAAUUACCUGACGUCGUUUGAACGUACGAACGACGUUAACACGAUGUUGAAAUAUUUUGAAAUUGUUAAUAGGGUAGCUUGCCAUAAACAUGACACAAACCAUAAUUUUCUAGCAUAAUAUCAACGACGCAGCCUCAUUACAUUUUAUGGAAAACUAACCUAGUUGUGCUAUUCAGCACUAUUGGCGCUGGCGACUAUGUACAGUCUGCUCUUGAGAUACGCGUUUUAUGCUUUCCAGAAAAAUCCACGUAUCUGGAGUAUCCUCGCACGUCGAAUUUCACGUUUUCAGCUAAAAUACAUUUGAUUUCUUGGUAUAUUUAUUACUUACUUACUUAUCCGGCACUACAACCGCUUUGCGGUCUUGGCCUGCCUCAGGAGUGUCCGAAACC
Anopheles merus is the source of this 4440-nucleotide long non-coding RNA. RefSeq lists it as uncharacterized. The transcript is spliced from 6 exons. The record is from RefSeq and is a predicted model, not a curated record. NCBI's taxonomy places the organism in Eukaryota, Metazoa, Arthropoda, Insecta, Diptera, Culicidae.